UACGUAGGGUACGAGCGUUGUCCGGAAUUAUUGGGCGUAAAGAGCUUGUAGGCGGUCUGUCGCGUCUGCUGUGAAAAUCCGGGGCUCAACCCCGGACUUGCAGUGGGUACGGGCAGACUAGAGUGUGGUAGGGGAGACUGGAAUUCCUGGUGUAGCGGUGAAAUGCGUAGAUAUCGAGAGGAACACCUGCGGCGAAGGCGGGUUGCUGGGCUGAUACUGACGCUGAGGGACGAAAGCUAGGGGAGCGAACGGG
This 253-nucleotide ribosomal RNA is filed under the name uncultured bacterium. RNAcentral describes it as "partial 16S ribosomal RNA". It matches the Rfam family "Bacterial small subunit ribosomal RNA", at positions 524 to 776 of the family's 1533-position model. The record is from RNAcentral.